This 52-nucleotide microRNA precursor is filed under the name Marmota monax (woodchuck). The record is from RNAcentral. Lineage: Eukaryota; Metazoa; Chordata; Mammalia; Rodentia; Sciuridae.
UUCUUAGUGUGAGUAUAUUCCAUGCAAAACUUGGGACAUACUUACACUAAAA